This 404-nucleotide unclassified non-coding RNA is filed under the name fungal sp. RNAcentral's name for it is "partial internal transcribed spacer region". The stretch from base 1 to 46 matches the Rfam family "Eukaryotic small subunit ribosomal RNA", at positions 1786 to 1831 of the family's 1831-position model. Lineage: Eukaryota; Fungi. The record is from RNAcentral.
AAGUCGUAACAAGGUUUCCGUAGGUGAACCUGCGGAAGGAUCAUUAACACGUAUCCAACGUUAAACAACCCUGUGAACUUUCAGCCUGCUCUUGCAUCCCAUGAGGAAUAGCAAUCCCGGUAAAUCAUUGCCAAACAGUUUUGAUUCGGGACCUCUGUCCAAAGGAGUGUGCAAUUGAGCGGUAGAGGCAGUGGCAUGGCUUCCCCAAGUAGUCAGUGAAUGACAGUGUCACUGGCUUUGUAAGGAUAACGCCUCACGGUUGCUGGAGGUCGAUCACCGACCGGCAGACAUGUCACAGGGUCACCACGCCCCUUAAUAACCCCACUUUUAAAUGCCCCGCCUAGUGGUAACGCGCUAGGUAAAAAAACCGAACAACUGUUAACAAUGGAUAUCUUGGUUCUCGC